AACGAACGCUGGCGGCAGGCUUGACUCAUGCAAGUCGAACGCAUCCUUCGGGGUGAGUGGCAGACGGGUGAGUAACGCGUGGGAACGUGCCCUUCAGUUCGGGAUAACCCAGGGAAACUUGGGCUAAUACCGGAUACGUGCGAGAGCAGAAAGAUUUAUCGCUGAAGGAUCGGCCCGCGUCUGAUUAGCUAGUUGGUGGGGUAAUGGCCCACCAAGGCGACGAUCAGUAGCUGGUCUGAGAGGAUGAUCAGCCACAUUGGGACUGAGACACGGCCCGAACUCCUACGGGAGGCAGCAGUGGGGAAUAUUGGACAAUGGGCGCAAGCCUGAUCCAGCCAUGCCGCGUGAGUGAUGAAGGCCUUAGGGUUGUAAAGCUCUUUCGUCCGGGACGAUAAUGACGGUACCGGAAGAAGAAGCCCCGGCUAACUUCGUGCCAGCCGCCGCUGUAA
This 449-nucleotide ribosomal RNA is filed under the name uncultured bacterium. RNAcentral's name for it is "partial 16S ribosomal RNA". It matches the Rfam family "Bacterial small subunit ribosomal RNA", at positions 29 to 523 of the family's 1533-position model. The record is from RNAcentral.